Molecule: non-coding RNA, 89 nt
Filed under: Pseudomonas chlororaphis
Lineage: Bacteria; Pseudomonadati; Pseudomonadota; Gammaproteobacteria; Pseudomonadales; Pseudomonadaceae
Also listed under: 3 other names
Source: RNAcentral
CUUUAUGGUGGGCUGUGCGCGGGACACCUUCGGGUGUGCCGGGUGCCUUCUUUCCCGGUUGACCAACCUGUGCACAGUCCGCCACCUAU